This 400-nucleotide ribosomal RNA is filed under the name uncultured bacterium. Its description in RNAcentral is "bacterial SSU rRNA". It matches the Rfam family "Bacterial small subunit ribosomal RNA", at positions 64 to 507 of the family's 1533-position model. The record is from RNAcentral.
GAGCGGGUGUAGCAAUACAUCAGCGGCAGACGGGUGAGUAACGCGUGGGAACGUACCUUUUGGUUCGGAACAACCCCAGGGAAACUUGGGCUAAUACCGGAUAAGCCCUUACGGGGAAAGAUUUAUCGCCGAAAGAUCGGCCCGCGUCUGAUUAGCUAGUUGGUGAGGUAAUGGCUCACCAAGGCGACGAUCAGUAGCUGGUCUGAGAGGAUGAUCAGCCACAUUGGGACUGAGACACGGCCCAAACUCCUACGGGAGGCAGCAGUGGGGAAUAUUGGACAAUGGGCGCAAGCCUGAUCCAGCCAUGCCGCGUGAGUGAUGAAGGCCCUAGGGUUGUAAAGCUCUUUUGUGCGGGAAGAUAAUGACGGUACCGCAAGAAUAAGCCCCGGCUAACUUCGUG